UACAAAUCAGAUCAAUAGCUAUGGCGUA
Molecule: small RNA, 28 nt
Filed under: Bombyx mori (domestic silkworm)
Lineage: Eukaryota; Metazoa; Arthropoda; Insecta; Lepidoptera; Bombycidae
Description: ovarian small RNA-20030
Source: RNAcentral